GAUGAACGCUAGCGGCAGGCCUAACACAUGCAAGUCGAGGGGGAAGUUACUUUCGGGUGACUGAGACCGGCGUACGGGUGCGUAACGCGUAUACAAUCUGCCUUUCACUGGGGGAUAGCCCGAAGAAAUUUGGAUUAAUACCCCAUAGUAUAUAGGGACGGCAUCGUUUUUAUAUUAAAGCUUAGGUGGUGAAAGAUGAGUAUGCGUUCUAUUAGCUAGUUGGGGAGGUAACGGCUCCCCAAGGCGAUGAUAGAUAGGGGUUCUGAGAGGGAUGUCCCCCACACUGGUACUGAGAUACGGACCAGACUCCUACGGGAGGCAGCAGUGAGGAAUAGUGGACAAUGGUCGGAAGACUGAUCCAGCCAUGCCGCGUGCAGGAUGAAGGUCUUAUGGAUUGUAAACUGCUUUUGUAAGGGAAGAAUAAGGGCUACGCGUAGUUUGAUGACGGUACCUUACGAAUAAGCAUCGGCUAACUCCGUG
Molecule: ribosomal RNA, 480 nt
Filed under: uncultured bacterium
Lineage: Bacteria
Description: partial 16S ribosomal RNA
Rfam family: Bacterial small subunit ribosomal RNA
Source: RNAcentral